UGGGGAAUUUUGGACAAUUGGGCGAAAGCCUGAUCCAGCAAUGCCGCGUGUGUGAAGAAGGCCUUCGGGUUGUAAAGCACUUUUGUCCGGAAAGAAAUCCUUGGCUCUAAUACAGUCGGGGGAUGACGGUACCGGAAGAAUAAGCACCGGCUAACUACGUGCCAGCAGCCGCGGUAAUACGUAGGGUGCAAGCGUUAAUCGGAAUUACUGGGCGUAAAGCGUGCGCAGGCGGUUUGCUAAGACCGAUGUGAAAUCCCCGGGCUCAACCUGGGAACUGCAUUGGUGACUGGCAGGCUAGAGUAUGGCAGAGGGGGGUAGAAUUCCACGUGUAGCAGUGAAAUGCGUAGAGAUGUGGAGGAAUACCGAUGGCGAAGGCAGCCCCCUGGGCCAAUACUGACGCUCAUGCACGAAAGCGUGGGGAGCAAACAGGAUUAGAUACCCCUGGUAGUCCACGCCCUAAACGAUGUCAACUAGUUGUUGGGGAUUCAUUUCCUUAGUAACGUAGCUAACGCGUGAAGUUGACCGCCUGGGGAGUACGGUCGCAAGAUUAAAACUCAAAGGAAUUGACGGGUCAUAGCUGUUU
RNAcentral lists this ribosomal RNA (583 nucleotides) under uncultured bacterium. Its description in RNAcentral is "partial 16S ribosomal RNA". It matches the Rfam family "Bacterial small subunit ribosomal RNA", at positions 355 to 929 of the family's 1533-position model. The record is from RNAcentral.